Molecule: ribosomal RNA, 759 nt
Filed under: uncultured bacterium
Lineage: Bacteria
Description: bacterial SSU rRNA
Rfam family: Bacterial small subunit ribosomal RNA
Source: RNAcentral
GAUGAACGCUAGCUACAGGCUUAACACAUGCAAGUCGAGGGGCAUCAGGAAGAAAGCUUGCUUUCUUUGCUGGCGACCGGCGCACGGGUGAGUAACACGUAUCCAACCUGCCCUUUACUCGGGGAUAGCCUUUCGAAAGAAAGAUUAAUACCCGAUGGCAUAAUGAUUCCGCAUGGUUUCAUUAUUAAAGGAUUCCGGUAAAGGAUGGGGAUGCGUUCCAUUAGGUUGUUGGUGAGGUAACGGCUCACCAAGCCUUCGAUGGAUAGGGGUUCUGAGAGGAAGGUCCCCCACAUUGGAACUGAGACACGGUCCAAACUCCUACGGGAGGCAGCAGUGAGGAAUAUUGGUCAAUGGGCGUUAGCCUGAACCAGCCAAGUAGCGUGAAGGAUGAAGGCUCUAUGGGUCGUAAACUUCUUUUAUAUAAGAAUAAAGUGCAGCAUGUAUACUGUUUUGUAUGUAUUAUAUGAAUAAGGAUCGGCUAACUCCGUGCCAGCAGCCGCGGUAAUACGGAGGAUCCGAGCGUUAUCCGGAUUUAUUGGGUUUAAAGGGAGCGUAGGUGGACUGGUAAGUCAGUUGUGAAAGUUUGCGGCUCAACCGUAAAAUUGCAGUUGAUACUGUCAGUCUUGAGUACAGUAGAGGUGGGCGGAAUUCGUGGUGUAGCGGUGAAAUGCUUAGAUAUCACGAAGAACUCCGAUUGCGAAGGCAGCUCACUGGACUGCAACUGACACUGAUGCUCGAAAGUGUGGGUAUCAAACCAGG